Molecule: ribosomal RNA, 1389 nt
Filed under: metagenome
Description: bacterial LSU rRNA
Rfam family: Bacterial large subunit ribosomal RNA
Source: RNAcentral
AAAGACCGAGCACCGAGACGAGUCCUUUUGGACGAAGUCACUGAUACCACGCUUCCAGGAAAAGCUCCUAAGCUUCAGCUUACGCAGACCGUACCGUAAACCGACACAGGUGGGUAGGAUGAGAAUUCUCAGGCGCUUGAAAGAACUCGGGUGAAGGAACUAGGCAACAUGGCACCGUAACUUCGGGAGAAGGUGCGCCCUUUUUGGUGGCUACGUGCGUAGCUGAGCUGAAGAGGGCCGCAGUAACCAGGCCGCUGCGACUGUUUAUCAAAAACACAGCACUCUGCAAACACGAAAGUGGACGUAUAGGGUGUGACGCCUGCCCGGUGCUGGAAGGUUAAUUGAUGGGGUCAGCCGCAAGGCGAAGCUCUUGAUCGAAGCCCCAGUAAACGGCGGCCGUAACAAUAACGGUCCUAAGGUAGCGAAAUUCCUUGUCGGGUAAGUUCCGACCUGCACGAAUGGCGUAACGACAGCGGCGCUGUCUCCACCCGAGACUCAGUGAAAUUGAAAUCGCUGUGAAGAUGCAGCGUUCCCGUGGCAAGACGGAAAGACCCCGUGAACCUUUACUAUAGCUUUACAUUGAACGUUGAGUUCGUCUGUGUAGGAUAGGUGGGAGGCUUUGAAGCGAUGGCGCUAGCUGUCGUGGAGCCAACCUUGAAACACCACCCUGUCGUGCUUGACGUUCUAACCUAGCUCCGUUAUCCGGAGCGGGGACCAUGUAUGGUGGGUAGUUUGACUGGGGCGGUCUCCUCCCAAAGAGUAACGGAGGAGCACGAAGGUACGCUCAGCGCGGUCGGACAUCGCGCACUGUGUGCAAAGGCAUAAGCGUGCUUGACUGCGAGAUCGACGGAUCAAGCGGGUACGAAAGUAGGUCUUAGUGAUCCGGUGGUUCUGUAUGGAAGGGCCAUCGCUCAACGGAUAAAAGGUACUCCGGGGAUAACAGGCUGAUACCGCCCAAGAGUUCAUAUCGACGGCGGUGUUUGGCACCUCGAUGUCGGCUCAUCACAUCCUGGGGCUGUAGUCGGUCCCAAGGGUAUGGCUGUUCGCCAUUUAAAGUGGUACGCGAGCUGGGUUCAGAACGUCGUGAGACAGUUCGGUCCCUAUCUGCCAUGGGCGUUGGAGAUUUGAGAGGGGCUGCUCCUAGUACGAGAGGACCGGAGUGGACGAACCUCUGGUGUUCCGGUUGUCACGCCAGUGGCAUUGCCGGGUAGCUACGUUCGGAAGCGAUAACCGCUGAAAGCAUCUAAGCGGGAAGCGCGCCUCAAGAUGAGAUCUCCCGGGGCACAAGCCCCCUAAAGGAACGAUGAAGACUACGUCGUUGAUAGGUCAGGUGUGUAAGUGCAGCAAUGCAUUGAGCUAACUGAUACUAAUGAUCCGUGCGGCUUGACU